GACGAGCGCUGGCGGCGUGCCUAAUACAUGCAAGUUGAGCGCUGAAGGUUGGUACUUGUACCAACUGGAUGAGCAGCGAACGGGUGAGUAACGCGUGGGGAAUCUGCCUUUGAGCGGGGGACAACAUUUGGAAACGAAUGCUAAUACCGCAUAAAAACUUUAAACACAAGUUUUAAGUUUGAAAGAUGCAAUUGCAUCACUCAAAGAUGAUCCCGCGUUGUAUUAGCUAGUUGGUGAGGUAAAGGCUCACCAAGGCGAUGAUACAUAGCCGACCUGAGAGGGUGAUCGGCCACAUUGGGACUGAGACACGGCCCAAACUCCUACGGGAGGCAGCAGUAGGGAAUCUUCGGCAAUAGACGAAAGUCUGACCGAGCAACGCCGCGUGAGUGAAGAAGGUUUUCGGAUCGUAAAACUCUGUUGGUAGAGAAGAACGUUGGUGAGAGUGGAAAGCUCAUCAAGUGACGGUAACUACCCAGAAAGGGACGGCUAACUACGUG
This 497-nucleotide ribosomal RNA is filed under the name uncultured bacterium. RNAcentral describes it as "partial 16S ribosomal RNA". It matches the Rfam family "Bacterial small subunit ribosomal RNA", at positions 28 to 507 of the family's 1533-position model. The record is from RNAcentral.